GAUGAACGCUGGCGGCGUGCCUAAUACAUGCAAGUCGAGCGAACGGACGAGAAGCUUGCUUCUCUGAUGUUAGCGGCGGACGGGUGAGUAACACGUGGAUAACCUACCUAUAAGACUGGGAUAACUUCGGGAAACCGGAGCUAAUACCGGAUAAUAUUUUGAACCGCAUGGUUCAAAAGUGAAAGACGGUCUUGCUGUCACUUAUAGAUGGAUCCGCGCUGCAUUAGCUAGUUGGUAAGGUAACGGCUUACCAAGGCAACGAUGCAUAGCCGACCUGAGAGGGUGAUCGGCCACACUGGAACUGAGACACGGUCCAGACUCCUACGGGAGGCAGCAGUAGGGAAUCUUCCGCAAUGGGCGAAAGCCUGACGGAGCAACGCCGCGUGAGUGAUGAAGGUCUUCGGAUCGUAAAACUCUGUUAUUAGGGAAGAACAUAUGUGUAAGUAACUGUGCACAUCUUGACGGUACCUAAUCAGAAAGCCACGGCUAACUACGUGCCAGCAGCCGCGGUAAUACGUAGGUGGCAAGCGUUAUCCGGAAUUAUUGGGCGUAAAGCGCGCGUAGGCGGUUUUUUAAGUCUGAUGUGAAAGCCCACGGCUCAACCGUGGAGGGUCAUUGGAAGCUGGAAAACUUGAGUGCAGAAGAGGAAAGUGGAAUUCCAUGUGUAGCGGUGAAAUGCGCAGAGAUAUGGAGGAACACCAGUGGCGAAGGCGACUUUCUGGUCUGUAACUGACGCUGAUGUGCGAAAGCGUGGGGAUCAAACAGGAUUAGAUACCCUGGUAGUCCACGCCGUAAACGAUGAGUGCUAAGUGUUAGGGGGUUUCCGCCCCUUAGUGCCGCAGCUAACGCAUUAAGCACUCCGCCUGGGGAGUACGACCGCAAGGUUGAAACUCAAAGGAAUUGACGGGGACCCGCACAAGCGGUGGAGCAUGUGAUUUAAUUCGAAGCAACGCGAAGAACCUUACCAAAUCUUGACAUCCUUUGACAACUCUAGAGAUAGAGCCUUCCCCUUCGGGGGACAAAGUGACAGGUGGUGCAUGGUUGUCGUCAGCUCGUGUCGUGAGAUGUUGGGUUAAGUCCCGCAACGAGCGCAACCCUUAAGCUUAGUUGCCAUCAUUAAGUUGGGCACUCUAAGUUGACUGCCGGUGACAAACCGAAGGAAGGUGGGGAUGACGUCAAAUCAUCAUGCCCCUUAUGAUUUGGGCUACACACGUGCUACAAUGGACAAUACAAAGGGCAGCGAAACCGCGAGGUCAAGCAAAUCCCAUAAAGUUGUUCUCAGUUCGGAUUGUAGUCUGCAACUCGACUACAUGAAGCUGGAAUCGCUAGUAAUCGUAGAUCAGCAUGCUACGGUGAAUACGUUCCCGGGUCU
This 1372-nucleotide ribosomal RNA is filed under the name uncultured bacterium. RNAcentral describes it as "bacterial SSU rRNA". It matches the Rfam family "Bacterial small subunit ribosomal RNA", at positions 28 to 1381 of the family's 1533-position model. The record is from RNAcentral.